UCGAGGAUCUUCGGCAAUGGGCGCAAGCCUGACCGAGCGACGCCGCGUGUGCGAAGAAGGCCUUCGGGUUGUAAAGCACUGUCGGGGGGGAGAAAGCCGCAAGGUUGAUCGACCCCCGGAGGAAGCACGGGCUAAGUUCGUGCCAGCAGCCGCGGUAAGACGAACCGUGCGAACGUUGUUCGGAUUCACUGGGCUUAAAGGGCGCGUAGGCGGGCACUCAAGUCGGUGGUGAAAUCUUUCGGCUCAACCGGAAAACGGCCUCCGAUACUGGGUGUCUCGAGGGGGGUAGGGGCAUGUGGAACUUCGGGUGGAGCGGUGAAAUGCGUAGAUAUCCGAAGGAACGCCGGUGGCGAAAGCGACGUGCUGGACCCCUUCUGACGCUGAGGCGCGAAAGCCAGGGGAGCAAACGGGAUUAGAUACCCCCGUAGUCC
RNAcentral lists this ribosomal RNA (431 nucleotides) under uncultured bacterium. RNAcentral's name for it is "bacterial SSU rRNA". It matches the Rfam family "Bacterial small subunit ribosomal RNA", at positions 355 to 796 of the family's 1533-position model. The record is from RNAcentral.